AUAAGAAACGGUCGAACGCAUCAUCUAUGAGAUAAAGAUAAUAGUUGUAAU
RNAcentral lists this non-coding RNA (51 nucleotides) under Trypanosoma lewisi. Lineage: Eukaryota; Euglenozoa; Kinetoplastea; Trypanosomatida; Trypanosomatidae. The record is from RNAcentral.